AGAUGUGCUCGUAGAGUAACGAGCAGGGUAAACAAAAGAAAUGCUCACCGAGA
RNAcentral lists this non-coding RNA (53 nucleotides) under unclassified sequences. RNAcentral describes it as "6A RNA". It matches the Rfam family "6A RNA". From Rfam's summary of the family: Actinobacteria (1 example), Firmicutes, Fusobacteria. Terminator (Clostridia) The record is from Rfam by way of RNAcentral.